Molecule: ribosomal RNA, 497 nt
Filed under: uncultured bacterium
Lineage: Bacteria
Description: partial 16S ribosomal RNA
Rfam family: Bacterial small subunit ribosomal RNA
Source: RNAcentral
GAUGAACGCUGGCGGCGUGCCUAAUACAUGCAAGUCGAGCGAACAGACGAGGAGCUUGCUCCUCUGACGUUAGCGGCGGACGGGUGAGUAACACGUGGAUAACCUACCUAUAAGACUGGGAUAACUUCGGGAAACCGGAGCUAAUACCGGAUAAUAUAUUGAACCGCAUGGUUCAAUAGUGAAAGACGGUUUUGCUGUCACUUAUAGAUGGAUCCGCGCCGCAUUAGCUAGUUGGUAAGGUAACGGCUUACCAAGGCAACGAUGCGUAGCCGACCUGAGAGGGUGAUCGGCAACACUGGAACGGAGACACGGUCCAGACGCCUACGGGAGGCAGCAGUAGGGAAUCUUCCGCAAGGGGCGAAAGCCUGACGGAGCAACGCCGCGUGAGUGAUGAAGGUGUUCGGAUCGUAAAACUCUGUUAUUAGGGAAGAACAAAUGUGUAAGUAACUAUGCACGUCUUGACGGUACCUAAUCAGAAAGCCACGGCUAACUACGUG